CCUUGAAAUACCACCCUUUAAUGUUUGAUGUUCUAACGUUGGCCCCUGAUCGGGGUUGCGGACAGUGUCUGGUGGGUAGUUUGACUGGGGCGGUCUCCUCCUAAAGAGUAACGGAGGAGCACGAAGGUUGGCUAAUCCUGGUCGGACAUCAGGAGGUUAGUGCAAUGGCAUAAGCCAGCUUGACUGCGAGCGUGACGGCGCGAGCAGGUGCGAAAGCAGGUCAUAGUGAUCCGGUGGUUCUGAAUGGAAGGGCCAUCGCUCAACGGAUAAAAGGUACUCCGGGGAUAACAGGCUGAUACCGCCCAAGAGUUCAUAUCGACGGCGGUGUUUGGCACCUCGAUGUCGGCUCAUCACAUCCUGGGGCUGAAGUAGGUCCCAAGGGUAUGGCUGUUCGCCAUUUAAAGUGGUACGCGAGCUGGGUUUAGAACGUCGUGAGACAGUUCGGUCCCUAUCUGCCGUGGGCGCUGGAGAACUGAGGGGGGCUGCUCCUAGUACGAGAGGACCGGAGUGGACGCAUCACUGGUGUUCGGGUUGUCAUGCCAAUGGCACUGCCCGGUAGCUAAAUGCGGAAGAGAUAAGUGCUGAAAGCAUCUAAGCACGAAACUUGCCCC
RNAcentral lists this ribosomal RNA (611 nucleotides) under Escherichia coli. Its description in RNAcentral is "partial 23S ribosomal RNA". It matches the Rfam family "Bacterial large subunit ribosomal RNA", at positions 2190 to 2800 of the family's 2925-position model. Lineage: Bacteria; Pseudomonadati; Pseudomonadota; Gammaproteobacteria; Enterobacterales; Enterobacteriaceae. The record is from RNAcentral.